This is a non-coding RNA of Rattus norvegicus (Norway rat), 856 nucleotides long. The record is from RefSeq and is a predicted model, not a curated record. NCBI's taxonomy places the organism in Eukaryota, Metazoa, Chordata, Mammalia, Rodentia, Muridae.
ACUGUGUCACAAGAGACUCUCCUGGAAAAGGCACUCUUGAAACUGGUCAAUAUAAGGAAAGCUGUUCAGCAGGUAGGACAUGGAGGUUCUCAGUGACAUCAUCAUCAUUAGGUCCUUCCCGAAAAAUAUCUUGUAACCUGGAGAGCCCUAGCUCCUUCUGUGAGGUCAGAAGUGUUGUUGUGACACCACCUGCUUCUCAGAUAUUCCUUCAGUACAUCUAGGGUUUGUAACUGGCCUUUAAUUCAGAGUAAACAGCCAUUUUUUAGGGAGAGCAAAGAGGAUGAAAGGAUCCAAGAAGAGGAGAAGGAAGCUGCCCUUCUGUCAUGGUAUAAAAAAGGAAGAAAUACAUGGUCCACUGGAGAGCUCAGUGAAUCCUGGGAACCUAUUGAGGUUGAUGUUUAACUGGACCUCAAGCCAUUCCUCUCACUGCCCAUCCUCCUAAGUAUGAUGUAUGGCCUGAAGAAAUAAUCAUGGUGGGAACACAGCUUUUCUGAUGUCUCGAAAUUUUUGGAUAAACUAAGGAUUUGGAAGUUCAUCAUUGGAAAAAAUUUUCAUCAAAGGAGCAAGAAAUUCUUCAUAACUUCAACACAACAUGGCCUUUGGGAACAGAAUAAAACACAAAUAAGGAAAGGCGGAAAAUGAUUGACACAUGCACUGUUCUUGGUUUGAAAUUUAACAAUCAUGCUAGUUAUAGGAUACAGCUUUGAAAUUAGAGUCAAUGAGAGUUUGAAAAAUACUGAGGAAGAGUAGGUAAAUUGAAUUCUUGCUACAUGAAAGAAAACACUGGAUCUGAAGGUAAGGUACAUUUUAGAUGAUGACACUCGUCUUCUGCCACUAUUUAUUCAAUGCUUUUGUA